Molecule: ribosomal RNA, 446 nt
Filed under: uncultured bacterium
Lineage: Bacteria
Description: partial 16S ribosomal RNA
Rfam family: Bacterial small subunit ribosomal RNA
Source: RNAcentral
CCUACGGGUGGCAGCAGUAGGGAAUAUUCGGCAAUGGGGGGAACCCUGACCGAGCAACGCCGCGUGAACGAAGAAGUUAUUCGUAAUGUAAAGUUCUUUUAACAGGGAAGAAAGAGAAAUUUGACGGUACCUGAAGAAUAAGCUCCGGCUAACUACGUGCCAGCAGCCGCGGUAAUACGUGGGGAGCGAGCGUUAUCCGGAAUUAUUGGGCGUAAAGGGUGCGUAGAUGGCAUAGUAAGUCUUUUGUAAAAAUGCUGGGCUCAACCCAGUAGGGCAAAAGAUACUGCAAAGCUAGAGUAUGACAGAGACAAGUGGAACUACAUGUGUAGCGGUAAAAUGCGUAGAUAUAUGUAAGAACACCAGUGGCGAAGGCGGCUUGCUGGGUCGAUACUGACAUUGAGGCACGAAAGCGUGGGGAGCAAACAGGAUUAGAUACCCGUGUAGUC